UGGGGAAUAUUGGACAAUGGGCGCAAGCCUGAUCCAGCCAUGCCGCGUGAGUGAUGAAGGCCUUAGGGUUGUAAAGCUCUUCCACCGGUGAAGAUAAUGACGGUAACCGGAGAAGAAGCCCCGGCUAACUUCGUGCCAGCAGCCGCGGUAAUACGAAGGGGGCUAGCGUUGUUCGGAUUUACUGGGCGUAAAGCGCACGUAGGCGGACUAUUAAGUCAGGGGUGAAGUCCCGGGGCUCAACCCCGGAACUGCCUUUGGUACUGGUAGGCUUGAGUGCGAGGGGGGUGAGUGGAAUUCCGAGUGUAGAGGUGAAGUUCGUAGAUAUACGGAGGAACGCCAGUGGCGAAGGCGGCUCGCUGGCUCGAUACUAACGCUGAGGUGCGAAAACGUAGGGAGCAAACAGG
RNAcentral lists this ribosomal RNA (404 nucleotides) under Actinomycetes bacterium. RNAcentral's name for it is "Actinobacteria bacterium partial 16S ribosomal RNA". It matches the Rfam family "Bacterial small subunit ribosomal RNA", at positions 355 to 776 of the family's 1533-position model. The record is from RNAcentral. Lineage: Bacteria; Bacillati; Actinomycetota; Actinomycetes.